RNAcentral lists this ribosomal RNA (289 nucleotides) under uncultured Nocardioides sp. RNAcentral describes it as "partial 16S ribosomal RNA". The record is from RNAcentral. Lineage: Bacteria; Bacillati; Actinomycetota; Actinomycetes; Propionibacteriales; Nocardioidaceae.
CUACUGGGGUUUCUAAUCCUGUUCGCUCCCCACACUUUCGCUCCUCAGCGUCAGGUAAUGCCCAGAGAACCGCCUUCGCCACCGGUGUUCCUCCUGAUAUCUGCGCAUUUCACCGCUACACCAGGAAUUCCAUUCUCCCCUGCAUACCUCUAGUCAGCCCGUAUCGGAAGCAGGCACGGAGUUAAGCCCCGUGUUUUCACUCCCGACGCGACAAACCGCCUACGAGCCCUUUACGCCCAAUAAUUCCGGACAACGCUCGCACCCUACGUAUUACCGCGGCGGCUGGCAC